UCCUACGGGGGGCAGCAGUGAGGAAUAUUGGUCAAUGGGAGAGAUCCUGAACCAGCCAAGCCGCGUGAGGGAAGACGGCCCUAUGGGUUGUAAACCUCUUUUGUCGGAGAACAAAACCCGGGACGUGUCCCGGACUGCGUGUAUCCGAAGAAAAAGCAUCGGCUAACUCCGUGCCAGCAGCCGCGGUAAUACGGAGGAUGCGAGCGUUAUCCGGAUUUAUUGGGUUUAAAGGGUGCGUAGGCGGUCCGUUAAGUCAGCGGUAAAAUUGCGGGGCUCAACCCCGUCGGGCCGUUGAAACUGGCAGA
RNAcentral lists this ribosomal RNA (305 nucleotides) under uncultured bacterium. RNAcentral's name for it is "bacterial SSU rRNA". It matches the Rfam family "Bacterial small subunit ribosomal RNA", at positions 337 to 640 of the family's 1533-position model. The record is from RNAcentral.